Molecule: long non-coding RNA, 71 nt
Organism: Neodiprion fabricii
Lineage: Eukaryota; Metazoa; Arthropoda; Insecta; Hymenoptera; Diprionidae
Exons: 3
Source: RefSeq, a predicted model, not a curated record
AAUUGUUGAAUUGAAGUCAUCGUAUUUCAAACAAGUAAGGGAUACUAGAUUGAAUAGAAUUUUUUUUCCUC